GGGCCUGUAGCUCAACGGUUAGAGCAUACGCUUGAUAAGCGUACGGUUAGUUGUUCAAGUCAACUUGGGCCCA
Molecule: transfer RNA, 73 nt
Filed under: Cavernulicola chilensis
Lineage: Eukaryota; Rhodophyta; Bangiophyceae; Cavernulicolales; Cavernulicolaceae
Description: tRNA-Ile
Rfam family: tRNA
About the family: Transfer RNA (tRNA) molecules are approximately 80 nucleotides in length.
Source: RNAcentral